AACCCAUGAUAGGGCACCUUUUAAAAAGAUCUUUGAAUCUCUCUCAAACAUUAUUUAGUGUUUCAAUAUCAAAUUGAGCAAAGGAAGAGAUGUCGUUUCUCAACUU
This is a small nucleolar RNA of Gossypium arboreum, 106 nucleotides long. It matches the Rfam family "Plant small nucleolar RNA R71". Rfam says of the family: R71 is a member of the C/D box family of snoRNAs containing the C (UGAUGA) and D (CUGA) box motifs. The record is from Rfam. Lineage: Eukaryota; Viridiplantae; Streptophyta; Magnoliopsida; Malvales; Malvaceae.